This 2017-nucleotide long non-coding RNA is filed under the name Rattus norvegicus (Norway rat). RNAcentral describes it as "long non-coding RNA NONRATT024449". Lineage: Eukaryota; Metazoa; Chordata; Mammalia; Rodentia; Muridae. The record is from RNAcentral.
GUGCGUCAGUUGUGGAGAGACGUAGAGGAGUUGAGUUCGUGUGUGUAGGGAGGCAGACAGCUCCGACGCAGACUACGGACCUCUCCAGGUCUCAGCCGUCAAAGACCCUGUCCGGUAGGAAACACUAGCCGGGGAUCAUGAGUGGCUGUCGAGUGUUCAUUGGGAGACUAAAUCCCGCAGCGAGGGAGAAAGAUGUGGAAAGAUUCUUCAAGGGUUACGGACGGAUCAGAGAUAUUGAUUUGAAAAGAGGUUUUGGUUUUGUGGAAUUUGAGGACCCAAGGGAUGCAGAUGACGCUGUUUAUGAACUUGAUGGGAAGGAACUUUGCAGUGAAAGGGUUACUAUUGAACAUGCUCGGGCUCGGUCUCGAGGUGGAAGAGGUAGAGGACGAUACUCCGACCGUUUUAGCAGUCGCAGACCUCGAAAUGAUAGACGAAAUGCUCCACCUGUAAGAACAGAAAAUCGACUUAUAGUUGAGAAUUUAUCCUCAAGAGUCAGCUGGCAGCCUAUCUGUGUCGUUGGCCUUAUGACGAGGAGUGCCUGUGGGUUAUCCUAAUCGUUGUCUUGGUCACUCUUGGUUGGGCCUGGUUGACUUUGCCAGUCAGCUCCUACAGUGAUCAGUUGGCCACCUCUAGAUCUGUGUUUGCCGGUCUAGACGUAAUCGGUGCACUUACUUGAAGUGCCGGGUUGCAGCGAUCCCAGAACGUUGAUAACGUGAUCUGAUCCCUAAGUUGAGAGCUGUCUUCCUGUAACGCUUCCGAAUAAGAGGUCCUGGUCGAAAGAGUUGAAAGAUACGAAAUUAGUUGGUCGUUGGAAUCCUGAUCGCAGUAAAGUGGUCCUUGGUAACUGCACACGAGUAAAACAUGUCUGCAUCGCCAGUAGUCUGCUAAUAGGGAGGGCUGUGCGAUUAAAGGCUUCCAUCGAUUGGGUAGUAUCCUUCAAGUGGGUGGCGAAGAGCCAGUCGGGCCUAUGUCAUGAAGGUUUCUCCGACCGCUUAAUGGUUUGCUGCUUGACUAGCCUAGGGAAAUGUUAAUAAAGGUAAAGUAAAUUUUUUUAAUGACAUAUGGGGCACAAAAUAACUGGUGUCUUUGUAAAUGUUGUUUUACUUUUUUUUUUGUUUUUGUUUUUUUUAAAUAUAAGACUAGUCUUUAAAAGAUGUACUGUUCCUUUUUGUUUUUUUGUUGUUUGUUUUGUUUUUUUGUUUGUUUUUCCCCCUUUUUGUACUGAGCUCAGUUAGACUAAUACUAUAAUGUUAAAAACUGGAAUUUCCUCUAGCAUUUUGCUUAAAAGCAAUAUGCUAUUUGCUUAUUUCGUGCCCUGGCAUACUUUUUGAAUUCCGAUAGAAUACAAGUGUGGUAUAUGCCAUGUUUGUACUAUCUAACAACUUCUCUUCCAGUAGUCUUGUUUAUACCAUGUGGUUGUUUGUGUGUCACUUUUCCCUUUCUCUCCUUAACAUAAUUGUCUUGUGUUAAGGAUCUCAAAGAUUUCAUGAGACAAGCUGGGGAAGUAACCUUUGCGGAUGCACAUCGACCUAAACUAAAUGAAGGGGUAGUUGAGUUUGCCUCUUAUGGUGACUUAAAGAAUGCUAUUGAGAAACUUUCUGGAAAGGAAAUUAAUGGGAGAAAAAUCAAAUUAAUUGAAGGCAGCAAAAGACACAGGUCAAGAAGCAGGUCACGAUCUCGGACCAGGAGUUCCUCUAGGUCCCGUAGCCGAUCCCGUUCACGCAGGAGCAAGUCUUACAGCCGAUCAAGGAGCAGGAGCCGGAGCCGGAGCAAGUCCCGUUCUGGUAGUAGGUCUCCCGUGCCUGAGAAGAGCCAGAAACGUGGUUCUUCGAGUAGAUCUAAAUCUCCAGCAUCUGUGGAUCGCCAGAGGUCCCGAUCCCGGUCCAGGUCCAGAUCAGUUGACAGUGGCAAUUAAUUAAACUGUAAAUAACUUGCCCUGGGGGCCUUUUUUUAAACAAAACAAAACAAAUUCCCAAACCAUACUUGCUAAAAAUUCUGGUAAGUAUGUGCUUUUUCU